Molecule: long non-coding RNA, 1333 nt
Filed under: Ananas comosus (pineapple)
Lineage: Eukaryota; Viridiplantae; Streptophyta; Magnoliopsida; Poales; Bromeliaceae
Description: long non-coding RNA (ACOM_LNC040323)
Source: RNAcentral
GUCUUCGAUUAUGCGCCACGGUGCUUCAAAUCCGUUUCCAGGAUUUUACGACGUCGCCUCGGCCCUCCAGGCGAAAACGAAGCCUAAACGUCCGUUUCUUUAAUAAUUUCGCACCGGCUCGACGAAUCGCCGAACCGACUUCGCCAACGCGUUCGUUUACCUAGCAAUUAGGUUUACGGAGGGUCAAAUUAGACUAAACCCUUAUAUUUUACAAAACCCCAUUCGGAGCCCUAAUAUGCAAUUAACCUCAAAAUAAUACAAAUUAAAUGGAUCAACAUACUAACAAAGCUCAUUAGAGGCUAUUAUAACACUAAGCAUUAAGGAUUAAGCCAAAUCCUAAAAGCUUACCUCAAUGUGAACUCCACGACGAGAACACGCCGCUCCAACAGCCACGCAAAAGCUCGAUCCGUCGCUCCCAAUGCGUUCACAAGCAUCAUCUCCACCAACCCCGCGAAUUUGAGCGAGAAAUAUAGAGAGAUGAGAGAGAAAUCUAGAGAGAGAAAGGAGCUUUCUCUCUCUCUCUAACCAUGCGCACGAGAGGGUGGUGGGGUGCUGGUCGGUUGGGGAAGAAGAAGCAACACCUUCUUUAUAAUACACCCCAAAACACUAUUCACUUCAGGCAGUUUUUACAGUUCGGAACAGUUUGAGCCUUUCUGAAUGUCCGUUUGAGCUCAAAUUUGACAGGGAAGCUCAGUUUAACGUACUGAGUAAGAAUAUAUUUUAAGUUUUCAGUUUCGACUCCAUUUGGUCACCGAAAACUGUACCGAACUAUAAUUUUUAUCAGAUAGUUGUCGGAUUUUAUUUCUUACUCUACGGGUGUCAAAAAAAUAUGAAACUUUAAAUCUAGUCUCAUAAAAAUAUUUCUGACUUAUUCUCCAAUUUUCAUAAUUUUCUGAGACUGUGCAUUUUCUGCCUAUUUAUCUGUCCCGUUUCCAACAGAAAAUUCUAGAUCUUCUGUUUUCAUUUCGAUUUCAGCACAAGUCACUUCUGACUUAUGUUUUACUCCUCUAAAUCCAAUAAAAAUAAUAUUUCGCACUAUUUUUAUUUAUUUUUAUUUUUAUAUUUAAAAUCCGGUAUAUUACAUUCCACCGCAACCUCACCGGAAUCAUUCAAAUGGCUUUCAAACCAAAUGUACACCGUAACUUUAUAAUUUUAGAAGUCCAGUAUCUUAUACGUUUGUUUCUGAAUCUCUCCCUGUGUGGAUUGUAGACUCAGGAGCAACAGACCACGUAGCAAGGGAUCGGAGGGGAUUCGUCGAGUAUCGUCGUGUGCCUGCUGGGAGCAGAAGAGUAUACAUGGGGAACGAUUCAAAUGUCGGUGUGUUAGGCGUUGG